This 206-nucleotide ribosomal RNA is filed under the name uncultured pozol bacterium #B3. RNAcentral describes it as "partial 16S small subunit ribosomal RNA". It matches the Rfam family "Bacterial small subunit ribosomal RNA", at positions 61 to 526 of the family's 1533-position model. The record is from RNAcentral.
ANGAAAAUNNNANUGCNCUUUNCAANCCCCUGAAUCUUCCACAAUGGACGAAAGUCUGAUGGAGCAACGCCGCGUGAACGAUGAAGGCUUUCGGGUCGUAAAGUUCUGUUGUAAGGGAAGAACAAGUGCCGCAGGCAAUGGCGGCACCUUGACGGUACCUUGCGAGAAAGCCACGGCUAACUACGUGCCAGCAGCCGCGGUAAUAA